UGCUCUUUCACUAGCGGUACUUUAGGUGAC
Molecule: non-coding RNA, 30 nt
Filed under: Mus musculus (house mouse)
Lineage: Eukaryota; Metazoa; Chordata; Mammalia; Rodentia; Muridae
Source: RNAcentral